GUGUACUUAGCUCAAUGGUUAGAGCAUCACUCAUGAAUGCUGAGUAUGUGAGUUUUGACUCUCACAGUACACA
This 73-nucleotide transfer RNA is filed under the name Puccinia triticina 1-1 BBBD Race 1. Its description in RNAcentral is "tRNA-Ser (TGA) (tRNA-Ser-TGA-82-1)". It matches the Rfam family "tRNA". Rfam says of the family: Transfer RNA (tRNA) molecules are approximately 80 nucleotides in length. The record is from RNAcentral. Lineage: Eukaryota; Fungi; Basidiomycota; Pucciniomycetes; Pucciniales; Pucciniaceae.